This 793-nucleotide ribosomal RNA is filed under the name uncultured bacterium. RNAcentral describes it as "bacterial SSU rRNA". It matches the Rfam family "Bacterial small subunit ribosomal RNA", at positions 8 to 796 of the family's 1533-position model. The record is from RNAcentral.
AGAGUUUGAUCAUGGCUCAGAUUGAACGCUGGCGGCAUGCCUUACACAUGCAAGUCGAGCGGCAGCGCGGGGCAACCCUGGCGGCGAGCGGCGCACGGGUGAGUAAUGCAUCGGAACGUGUCCUCUUGUGGGGGAUAACCAGUCGAAAGACUGGCUAAUACCGCAUGAGCUCGCGAGAGGAAAGCAGGGGACCCGCAAGGCCUUGCGCGAGAGGAGCGGCCGAUGCCGGAUUAGCUAGUUGGUGGGGUAAAAGCCCACCAAGGCGACGAUCCGUAGCUGGUCUGAGAGGACGACCAGCCACACUGGGACUGAGACACGGCCCAGACUCCUACGGGAGGCAGCAGUGGGGAAUUUUGGACAAUGGGGGCAACCCUGAUCCAGCCAUGCCGCGUGUGUGAAGAAGGCCUUCGGGUUGUAAAGCACUUUCGGCCGGAACGAAAUCGCGUGGGCGAAUAUCCCGCGUGGAUGACGGUACCGGAAGAAGAAGCACCGGCUAACUACGUGCCAGCAGCCGCGGUAAUACGUAGGGUGCGAGCGUUAAUCGGAAUUACUGGGCGUAAAGUGUGCGCAGGCGGCCGCGCAAGUCGAGUGUGAAAGCCCCGAGCUUAACUUGGGAAUUGCGCUCGAAACUACGUGGCUGGAGUGUGGCAGAGGAAGGUGGAAUUCCAGGUGUAGCGGUGAAAUGCGUAGAGAUCUGGAGGAACACCGAUGGCGAAGGCAGCCUUCUGGGCCAACACUGACGCUCAUGCACGAAAGCGUGGGGAGCAAACAGGAUUAGAUACCCUAGUAGUCC